UGCCAGCCGCCGCGGUAAUACGGAGGGUGCAAGCGUUGUUCGGAAUUAUUGGGCGUAAAGCGCGUGUAGGCGGUUCGUUAAGUCUGAUGUGAAAGCCCGGGGCUCAACCCCGGAAGUGCCUCUAAUACUGCUAGUCUUGAGUUCGAGAGAGGUGAGUGGAAUUCCGAGUGUAGAGGUGAAAUUCGUAGAUAUUGGGAAGAACACCAGUGGCGAAGGCGGCUAACUGGCUCGGUACUGACGCUGAGAUGCGAAAGCGUGGGGAGCAAACAGGAUUAGAUA
RNAcentral lists this ribosomal RNA (279 nucleotides) under uncultured bacterium. RNAcentral describes it as "partial 16S ribosomal RNA". It matches the Rfam family "Bacterial small subunit ribosomal RNA", at positions 506 to 784 of the family's 1533-position model. The record is from RNAcentral.